RNAcentral lists this long non-coding RNA (349 nucleotides) under Physcomitrium patens. Its description in RNAcentral is "long non-coding RNA (PPAT_LNC010279)". Lineage: Eukaryota; Viridiplantae; Streptophyta; Bryopsida; Funariales; Funariaceae. The record is from RNAcentral.
AGAGAAUCAACUUAUGCUUCAAAAACCACGUGUUGUAAAUUGAUGCAUCGACACAGGCAACACUAGGAACCUUAUUUAAUGCUUGAAUGACCAAGUAAAAUAAAGCCCCAUACUAAUUAACAAACUAGCGAACUAGUAACUUACUAGUAGGAGUGGCAAAGGGAGAAGAAGAAGAAGAUGAAGCGGCGAUGGUCGAAGACGAAGAUCGUCGUCGAUUGCAGUAAAGCAUGUCGAAGAAUCGAUGAAUUUGGCUUUGGAAAGGGUUCUGUUAAUUUCCCGAUUACUACUUCGGAGAUGCAAUUCGGGGUGACAGAUCGGACGACGAUGGUGGGUUUUACUACGGAGUGAA